This 449-nucleotide ribosomal RNA is filed under the name uncultured bacterium. RNAcentral's name for it is "bacterial SSU rRNA". It matches the Rfam family "Bacterial small subunit ribosomal RNA", at positions 355 to 825 of the family's 1533-position model. The record is from RNAcentral.
UGGGGAAUAUUGCGCAAUGGGGGAAACCCUGACGCAGCGACGCCGCGUGUGGGAUGAAGGUCUUCGGAUUGUAAACCACUGUCGCGAGGGACGAAGCUCUGACGGUACCUCGAAAGGAAGCACCGGCUAACUCUGUGCCAGCAGCCGCGGUAAUACAGAGGGUGCGAGCGUUGUCCGGAAUCACUGGGCGUAAAGGGCGCGUAGGCGGCCCGGUAAGUAGGGGGUGAAAUCUCAUGGCUCAGCUGUGAGGCUGCCUUCUAGACUGCCAGGCUUGAGCACAGUAGAGGUGAGUGGAAUUCCCGGUGUAGCGGUGGAAUGCGUAGAGAUCGGGAAGAACAUCGGUGGCGAAGGCGGCUCGCUGGGCUGUUGCUGACGCUGAGGCGCGAAAGCGUGGGGAGCAAACAGGAUUAGAUACCCAAGUAGUCCCUGAGCGGGCUGGCAAGGCGCAU